Long non-coding RNA from Callithrix jacchus (white-tufted-ear marmoset), 2771 nucleotides. Lineage: Eukaryota; Metazoa; Chordata; Mammalia; Primates; Cebidae. The record is from Ensembl.
AAUAAGAAAGAAAGUAGGGGGUGAGUGGUGAUAAAUAAUGCUCCAUUAGUUCUAGGUAGUACUCAGUAAAUAUUUGUUGAAUUCAAGAAUGAGUAGUAUAACUAGAGGUGAUGUUUACCUUCUCUCUCUCUUUCUCUCGUGUAUGUAUGUGAAUGUGCUUUUAAAGUAUUCUUCAAUGUGUAUAUAAAACAUUUGAAAUAAGCAGCUAAAUGAAUUUUGUUUAAAAUUUUAAAAUCUGAACUUUAAAGAAAAGAAAUUUAAAUGUGGCUUAUGACUAUCCCGUCACCACCUUACAUGUAUGAAUUGAGAGACUGAAAGGAAAUUCUUCCUAAGAUGAUCUUCCACAUCUGUAUCAGGGUCUACAAUUCCACCAUGCUUUGGGAUAAGGCUUUAAGGCAUUUGAAUUAUUACCUGGGAUUUAAUUCAAGUCUGUUCACACACUAGGAUAAUGGGAUACAGGAUGCUGUUGAAUUCUGUUGGGUAGUUCAUUAUCUGGGCAACUUCUUUAUUUAGCUAUCUCUUGAGAUAGACAAAAAAGGAAUAAAAUUUAAAGGAAAACUCUCUUAAAGAUGCAGAUUGAGGUACCUUACCAGAGGCAGAAUGAAGACACUGGGAUGACACGGUGUAUCUCCAGGACCUGGUAUACUUGUUAUGCGUUCUGGAUCCCUACAUGGUAUUUAAGUCAGAGCAAGAGAACAAGGGCUGUGGAAAACAAGUGGACUUCAGAUUUGGCCUAAUGGCAGGUAGAGAAGAAAAGCUGUUGGCAUGUGAAGAUCUGAGAAAAUAUGUGGUGAGGAGAAGUUCUCACAUUUUCUGAAAACAGCUGGAAACUAUUAAACUAGCUAUGAGAUACCAUAAUGUAGAAGCAGUUUGAAAUAGUCCAUAUUAGAGGCAUUCUGAAAUCAGUCAUUGCUUGUCAGUUAGCUGUUGAUAUCUGAAGUUGUCUUCCGGUGAAAGGUAAUUGCCAUUCAACACGCUGGCUGUUUUACUUCUGCUUCUGCUGUAUUAUUGGCAAGUCACAAAAUGGCAUUAAUACACAGAAAAUUAAUAAUAGUGACAUCAGAAAUGAUCAGAAAAUCUACAAAUUGAAUGACAAUAAGAACAUUAAAGUUCACAAGCUAGUGGAGGUGGAAUACAUUGAAAGUUUACUUUGUUUAAAGAGGGAUAUUAGGUAUAAUCGUUUUGCUCUUUAAAAAUCAAUACUCUAAAUACCACAAGUUUUGCAGUCAGUUUGCUUGGGUGGAAUCAGUGGAAAUUGAACACAAUUCUCAGAAAUGCUUUUAGUAGGUGAUAGCUGGUGUAGGAGGAAAAAUUGUGGUGGGAAAAUGUUACAGAGAAAAAAAGAUGUUGUUUAAGGCUGAAAGCAAUUCACUCUUAAAAGAAAUUUGCAUUUCAUAACACGUCUUCACUAGUACAUGACAUGCUAUGCUUCAUCUACUUUGUAGAUCAACUCUGCAUUAUUUUGGUCAAUGAGCUAGUUGGAGCAGGUGAAAACCGGGUAGUCAAAGUGAGGAAAUUAAAUUAUUUAUUUGUCUGACUUUAUAUUAUAAUUUUAAAAGUGAUUUCACCCUUAUAGCUUUGUAGAAGACAGAAAUGUUCUUUUAAAAUAUGUACUGCUGAUUUUCAAAAUGGUAAAGCUUUGGCAGCAAAGGUACUAAGUGGCACUGAUUUAAACAUCUUGGGGACUAUUAUAUUCAUUUAAAACUUUGAAUAAGAGAGUAUUUUUCUUAAAUAAAAUUCUAUCACUCUCAAGUACACUUGAUGCUACUGUUUGUUCUUUCACUUAUUUAACACAUUUUUGCAUCUACAUGCCAGGCACUUUUCUAAAUGCUAGGAAUAUAGCAGUGAACAAAACAGAGAAAACUGGGCUUGUAUUCUAGUGGAGAAAGACAAAAACAAACAGUUGAAAUAUGAAAUACAAUGUAAAAUUGUAAAUAUUAAACAAAUUUGCUUAAUAGGGAUCCUUAGAGGAGCUGCCUUAGUAAGUAGCUAAUGAUCUGUAAUUUUCAUAUCCAUUUGCAUAUGUUAUUGGUGAACAACAGGCUGUUUCUAAUAGUUGGUAGAUAAGAAAUACAUAUAUGCAUUUUGAAAUUUUGUCUAUGUUAUUUUGUAUACCAACCUUUUUUUCAAAUGAUCGGAUUUUCACAUUAUUACCCAUCAGUCUAUAGAAUAUAUAUUUGUCUUUUGUUUCAUGGUAUAUUAAGGAAAAAUCUUAACUUUCAACCUUUCCAUUAGAUCAAAGGUGAAAUCUUUAAAACAUGUAAAGAGUUUCUUCAGCUUGCUAAAGAAAGAAGAAAUAAAGGCAAAUGUAAUUUAGACAAGUCUUUGGAAGAUACAUAUUAUUACUGUGAUUAGAAAAGACAAAACUUACUGCUUCUGUUGACUUUUAAUUAGAGGCCAGAAGAGAAUACUCUUCAUGUACAAAUAAACUUUUAAAGUCUUUCUUCUGAAGUCUCUUUGUUUAUCCCAUAGCCAUUGACUGAGCAUACACUAUCUGCAAAGCACUAUGCUAGAAAAGUGUGUGUAUGUGUGUGUGUGAGAGAGAGAGAGAUAAAGAGACAGAGAUUAAGAGGGCAAGAGAAGGGAAUGAAUGAAGAAGGGCAGGAAUAAAGUGUAUGAGUUGAGUCAGUUUUCAGUAUGGAGGAAUACACAGGUAAGUAGAAUAAAAAUAUUAAAAUAAAUUUUCUGUAAAAAAAAUUAAAAUAAGUUUUAUGUGAGUUCAAAGAAGAGACUUGUUAUUUCUGCCUGGAAGGACUGGAGAAAGUUUCAUA